Molecule: ribosomal RNA, 847 nt
Filed under: Meloidogyne hapla
Lineage: Eukaryota; Metazoa; Nematoda; Chromadorea; Rhabditida; Meloidogynidae
Description: eukaryotic LSU rRNA
Rfam family: Eukaryotic large subunit ribosomal RNA
Source: RNAcentral
GCCCAGUCAUACUCUUUAGAGUCGGGGUUGCUUGGGAUCGCAGCCCAAAGUCGGGUGGUAAGCUUCAUCUUAGUACUUUAUUUAUGCCACCAGUCCGUUUAUUUCAAAAAGACCCGGAGGAAGUUGCAAGCACUUUGAAGAGAGAGUUAAAGAGGACGUGAACCGGUGAGGAGGAAACGGAUAGAGUCGGCGUAUCUUGCAAGUAUUCAAUUACUUUAUUAUUGUGUUGUUAUCUCUGAGCUCCAGAUUGGGACAGAGGAAAGCAGCAUGAUUUAAUGUGAUGCAUUUACUUGUUUGGUGUGUGGGGGUAUCUAAGAUGGAUUUGCAACCAAUGUUUUGAGGCCAGCUUGCUGGUACCCAAACAUUGUUAACAUUUUUUAUCUUGGAUAUUCGAGUACGGCUUACGUGCAUUUUUUGUAUUGAUCUAAGUGCAAGUUACGGUCGCAUGCGACACGUGCUUUUCAUUUAGUUCGGUGCAGUUAAUGCUCUCGUACUCUCCCCCCAUGUAAAAGCCGGUCAUCUAUUUGACCCGUCUUGAAACACGGACCAAGGAGUUUAUCGUGUGCGCAAGUUUUUGGGUGUUAAAAACCUAGAAGCGAAAUGAAAGUAAAUGAUUCUUUAGAGUCUGAUGUGCAAUCUUUUUUCAGAAAAGUGCAUCAUGGCCCCAUUCUAACUGUUUACAGUAGGGUGGCGGAAGAGCGUACGCGGUGAGACCCGAAAGAUGGUGAACUAUUCCUGAGCAGGACGAAGCCAGAGGAAACUCUGGUGGAAGUCCGAAGCGGUUCUGACGUGCAAAUCGAUCGUCUGACUUGGGUAUAUCCACUGAAUACCCUACAAAUUGUUGCCC